Molecule: unclassified non-coding RNA, 831 nt
Filed under: Caenorhabditis elegans
Lineage: Eukaryota; Metazoa; Nematoda; Chromadorea; Rhabditida; Rhabditidae
Description: Non-coding transcript of protein-coding gene D2023.1a
Source: RNAcentral
AUGGAGGCUGUUCGUGAGAACAUUCGCACAUCCCGACUGCUUAUUCAAAUCUUCUUCAUCUUUGCAUUUUUCGUUGGCACCUCAACAUUCUUCCUUCUCAAAUUCUCUGCUUCAUUGACGGAUCCAUCUCAGAAAUGGACAACUAUAAAAAAUGGCUUCAUGUAUGAUAUUCUGAUAUGUAUUGGUACUACAUGCACAACUACUGUAUUCCUUCAAUUUUUAAUUCCGGAUGAUACACUGAAAAAAUGGAGACUGAAAUUUCAUUUGUCAUGUCAACAACGAAGUGUGACUCCGGAAGGAAAGAGACUUCGAUUCAGAAGUAUUCAUGGAAUAGAUGUUGAAGUUGGAAAUGGAACUGCAGAAGAAGAGGCUAGAGUAUACUUCACACAAUUAUCACAAGCCUGGAAACUCUAGAAAAUUCAAAAAAAAUAUGUGAUGACUGAUGGAAUGUGAAGAACACAUUUAAGAAGAAACAAAAACAAGAAAUUCUUCCUCACAAAACACUUCCUCAAAACAACCAUGUCUGACUCCAUCAUCACCCGCUCCGAAGUUAACAUGCACUGUAGCGAAGAUGACUGUUGGAUUAUUGUUGGAAACUAUGUCUACGACGUCACAAAGUUCGUCGAUCUCCACCCAGGAGGCCCAGAAAUUCUUCUCGAAUUCGCCGGAGGUGAUGCCACCGAUGCUUUCGAGUCCGUCGGACACUCAAUGUGUGCCCGCAUGAUGCUCACAAAGUUCAAAAUUGGCUCUUUACCAGAGGAUGAGCGUCCAGAUUUUAUUCAAGCCGAAUACAUCACUCAUGCAAAGAUCUCUCUUCCAAUGGCUCAUUAA